RNAcentral lists this small RNA (28 nucleotides) under Bombyx mori (domestic silkworm). Its description in RNAcentral is "piRNA piR-bmo-2243760". The record is from RNAcentral. Lineage: Eukaryota; Metazoa; Arthropoda; Insecta; Lepidoptera; Bombycidae.
UAGUAUUUGUUGUGUAAAGAAGGUUUGU